UAAGCGGAGGAAAAGAAACUAACAAGGAUUCCCCUAGUACUGCGAGUGANGCGGGAAAAGCUCAAAUUUGGAAUCUGGUGGUCUUUGNCCAUCCGAGUUGUAAUUUAGAGAAGCGUCUUCCGCGCUGGACCGUGCACAAGUCUCCUGGAAUGGAGCGUCAUAGAGGGUGAGAAUCCCGUCUUUGGCAUGGAAUCCCAGGGCUUCUGCGAUGCGCUCUCGACGAGUCGAGUUGUUUGGGAAUGCAGCUCACAAUGGGUGGUGAACUCCAUCUAAAGCUAAAUAUUGGCGAGAGACCGAUAGCGAACAAGUACCGUGAGGGAAAGAUGAAAAGCACUUUGGAAAGAGAGUGAAACAGUACGUGAAAUUGUUGAAAGGGAAACGCUUGAAGUCAGUCGCGUCGACCGAGACUCAGCCUUGCCUCGGCUUGGUGUACUUCUCGGCUUGACGGGUCAGCAUCGAUUUCAAUCCUCGGAUAAUGGCAAGGGAAAGGUAGCACCUUUUUAGGUGUGUUAUAGUCCCCUGUCGCAUGCGAGGGUCGGGAUCGAGGAACUCAGCACGCACCUCAGGGUGUCGGGGCCUUGGCCCACGUUUACGUGCUUAGGAUGCUGGCGUAAUGGCUUUAAACGACC
Molecule: ribosomal RNA, 629 nt
Filed under: uncultured Russulaceae
Lineage: Eukaryota; Fungi; Basidiomycota; Agaricomycetes; Russulales; Russulaceae
Description: LSU rRNA
Rfam family: Eukaryotic large subunit ribosomal RNA
Source: RNAcentral